CUAAUUCUUUUCUAAAAGAAAAAACAUGAAAUACUAGCUUAGCCUCUCUUCUUCUUUCAAGUGCAAACCACCAUAAAAUCACCAUAUCUUCCAUGAAAAUCAGUCACUAAAACUUCAACUAAGCCACCUUAAAUCACUAACAGAAGUAUCACCUUUCAUCAAAAACUUACUGCCCAUAACCUCCAGAGCUUCGCCUAUAUCCGUCAAGCCAAAACAAAUCCUGAGCUUGCCGGAAAAAAGCAAAAUUCCAGCAACAAUAGUUGUGAAAACCACCAAAUCUCCACUAGAUAGCCGAAGCAAAUGCUUAAAUGAGAAGUAGUCAGAGCAAAAGUCAAAACAAGAAAGACAAAGAAGUCUCUUCCACUCCUAGAGGUUGAGGAUGAGGAAGUGAUGGGGACGACGAUGCUCGUGCAAGAUAAGAUGACGACUGGCUGACUUGCCCAUCUCAUAUAUAUUAUAAAGGAAGCAUGCUAUUUUUAGCUAUUUUUGCUUUUUCUUAUAAACACCCUCUUUCAUCUAACAACACCUUCAUUUCAACAGAAACACACAAACAAAAAUCAAUUAUUUGAAUCGAAUGAUAAUUUUGCACCAAAAAUAAUAAAUUAGAAAAUAAAAGCUUCAGUUUCAAUAAUGGUGAAAUUCCGUUUUUUCAAUAAAAUUCGAUCAAAUCAAUAUUAACACAAGAAUCCAAAUAUCAAAAAUAACACCCACCAAUUUUCAUUCUCAAACAACUUCAAUUUGUAGAACCCACAUUUUAGAUCGUCCAACUUCGAUAUUUUUCUUCUCAUUCGUCUUCGCCGGCCCGCUCUCUUUCGCCUACAGUUUUUCGCUAUCUAGUCCCUAGUUCUGCUACUUUUGGAAUGGGUGAGUAUUUUAGUGAACUAAUAUUCAUUAAACCUAACUGAAGCUACUUUUGGGAUGGGAAGAUAUGUGUUUAGUUAGUUGGAUGGAGAGUGGAUUAGGGAAAAGGGGAAGGAAACGUAGAAGAAGGGCAGAAGGAAGAAGAUAGAAUGGGGGACGGGGUAGCGCUGGUUUUGGUUGCUUUAGGGAAAAGUUUAUUUCUCCUUUAAAUUCAUUUUUUUAAUUAUAAGUGUUAAGUUUUAAUUAUAAAUUACACGUGGUGUUCACUGAUUGGCUCAUUUGAAAUAUUAUUGGCAAGUAUAACUCACGUAUCUGGUUUGUUGUGC
Molecule: long non-coding RNA, 1187 nt
Filed under: Nicotiana benthamiana
Lineage: Eukaryota; Viridiplantae; Streptophyta; Magnoliopsida; Solanales; Solanaceae
Description: long non-coding RNA (NBEN_LNC023462)
Source: RNAcentral